This is a non-coding RNA of Rattus norvegicus (Norway rat), 225 nucleotides long. Ensembl annotates it as Nuclear RNase P. Lineage: Eukaryota; Metazoa; Chordata; Mammalia; Rodentia; Muridae. The record is from Ensembl.
GAAGGUCUAAGGCUGGGGCCUCCUGCAGCCCUAACAGGCUUUCCCUGAAUUAGGAGGUGAAUUCCCAGAGAGCAGGGCUCCAUGCCUGGACAGAUAGGACAGGAAAGGCCCCAAGUGGCAGAUGUAUCCCUCACCAGAGCUUGCAACAGACACGUGGUCACUCACUUUGUUCAGUAAAUGGCUAUCUGUUGUGGUAAAAAUAAAAAACAGCAGAACCAGUUCCAG